Long non-coding RNA from Capsicum annuum, 7006 nucleotides. RefSeq lists it as uncharacterized. The transcript is spliced from 2 exons. Lineage: Eukaryota; Viridiplantae; Streptophyta; Magnoliopsida; Solanales; Solanaceae. The record is from RefSeq and is a predicted model, not a curated record.
GGCGAGGCGUUCGCCUUUUGAAUGUACGGCGACAGUAUAUAUAUAAAAAAAUUAAAAUAAUAUAUAAAUGAUCAAAAUUUCAAUAAAAUUAAUAUAUUAGGAAAAUAGAAGAAGAAGAAGAGAAAAAGAGGAAGGAAAAAAAAAACAGCACCAAGAUACAAGUCCAAUCACUGGAUUAAGAAGAAAGAAGAAAAAAAAUAGAAAACUAUAGUUGACUGCUUACCGGAGUCGCCGGAAUCUGUCCCCGGUCGCCGGAAUCGAACUUGUGAGAUGAACGGUAGCAGCCACAGUCACCCAUAAGUAAGUUGGUAGAGCCAAAAUGGGUAAAUAAGCCCUAAAAUUAGCUUAUAUACCUAGAACCCUAUUUUUUUUAAAAAAAAAUUAAAAGGCGACGCCAUUGUCACCUCGCCAUGUCGCCUUUUUCGCAAAGGCGUCGCCUUUUGAUUUUCGCAACGCAUGACGUGAAGAGGCGACCAGGCCUCGCCUCGCCAUUCGCCAUUGGCCACAUGGCGAGCGCCUUUUACAACACUGAGGAAAAGAAAAAAAGUUACGGAUAGUAGGAACAAUCUUCCUUUCCGUUUUCUUGAGCUGUUUUAUGCCUUUUGGUUUGUCGGGAAAAAGAAUUUAACUGAGCUGAAGUUUUCAGACUCUGAAAUUUGUUAUUUACAUGACGUAAUGGAUUCGGCAUGGGAAUUGGUAAACAAGAAUAUACCCAGUGUAAUAGCACAUGUGGGGUCUGGGGAUAGAGUGUACGGAAACCUUUAUCCCUAACUCAUAAAGAUAGAGAGGCAAAGACAUGAAAGUUGGUUGAAUACUGGGAAUAUUUAGUGUGUAGGUGUGAUGACCAGUAACACUCAACAGUGUGACAUAGUUUCAAUGAAGUGGAAGAUCAAGGUUCAAUUUCAUGCGAUUUCUUUCUGUAUGCCUGGGCCUUGGUGGGCAAGUUAUCUGAUACUGGUGCUAGUGAGAGGUAGUAGUUAUUGAUGGAAUAGUAGGUGUGCAAGAACUGGCUGUGACACUCGUUAUUCAAAAAAACCUCAAUGUGUUUGCUCUUUAGUGUAUAGGUGUGACAAUUGGAAAAAUAUUCUAGUUAAAUAGUUCUUUUUGCAAGGAUUAUCCAACGGUUGUUUAAGUGUCUCUGUCUGCCAGCCACGUAGCUAUUAGGAUAGAGGCGUAAUACAAUGCAAGGCUGAGAUCACGAGGACUUAAAGCAGUUGUGACCUGUCUGCAUUUCUUUCUUGUAACACUCCUUAAUUUAUCAUAUCUUUUUGUUCUUAUUGUGCUUCUUUGGGCCUGGGAUGAAAAGAAGCUUAAUUGCUGAAUCGGUGAGGCAUGAGACUGGAGAGUUCUCUUUUCUUUCUAGACCUUCUAGAAUCGAAACCAGAAUAAUAAACUCUCUUUCCCCGUAAUAGCUUUUAAAAGGCUUCAACAAUAUGGAAUGCUAGCUUUGGUGCAUUUGGAGAACUUCGCUGCCCAGCGUGGGUGUUCUAAAGAAGCGAUCACUGAACAUUCCUCCUCCCUUUCCAUUCGGUUGCUUAUCUCUUUGUUCCUCACUAAUUUAGCCAACUUCAUUCUUAUUUGAGCCGGAGUCUAUCGGACCUCUGAGGUAGUGGUAUGGACUGCGUACACUUACCCUCCCCAAAUUCCACUAUGUGGGAAUAUACUGGAUAUGUUGUUGUUGUUGUUUUUCAUUCUUAUUUCGGGGCCCUUUUGUCUACAUAAAGAUUAAAUAACUAAUCAUUGUCAUAGUGUUUGCUCCAAUCAUUUUCAUACGUCCAUUCCUUUCAAAAUUUCAAACACUCAUCUCAUUACAUAAAAAUAAUAUCCAAGUAUCCCUAUUACUCCUACACUCUGUGUUUUUUGAAAUUAUGCCCAAGUAUCCCAAUAACUUUUUUCCACUCAAGUCACGUCAUGUUGCUCGGGUUCAAUUAAAUUGCAUAGCCUGAAUUAGUUAUAGAUAUUCACGGGGCUUCACACUUGGUCUAUGUUUUGAUAUGUUCCCAUGGCUAAUUUUAAAAAUGCAGUUUGAUGAACAUAUUCAGAUACUUUUUAAUUUAUAUCAAAUUCUCAUAGUAAAGAUACAUUUGCUUUCAAGCCAUCUUUUAUUUUUGAUGUUUUAAGAAAAGCAGAAUGGGUUGCCGGUACACUGGCUAGAACUCUGCUUGAGGUAGUGUUACAGAAUUCAAGUGAAAGAGUCGAAACAAAGAUCUUUUUGCUGAUGAAGUAAAAAGUUUCAGUAAUGACAUCAAGAAGAUGCAAAAGAGAAAUACAUUUGAUCCUACAAAUUUAUGAAAGGAAAGUUACGAGAAAAGUGUAACAAAAUCUCAGAAUUAAUUUCUUCACUUUAUUUGGAAGGCAAUUGAAAAAUGUAUGAAAACUGGGUUGGACGGAUAUACUCUAUAAGGUAGUAUAUUAUUGAUCUGCCCUUUGAUGAGAAAUCACCUAGAUCAGUGGCUAAGUUGAGUAAGAGAUGGCUUUAGUAGAAGUGACCUGCUUCCAUGUUAUGCAAAGAAUAACGACUAGGUUUAGGAGGAACGUAAGGUGAGUUCCAAUAUUUUCCAUCAUGUUUUCCACUUCUCCUAUGAAUCGUUUUGCUAAAAUUAUAGUUGAAAAUUGACUCACACUCCUAGUGUUUUUCCCUUAUUGUUUUCCUUAGCAUUCAAGUAUAAAGAAGCUUUUAACGAUUGGAACUCCAAGACCUUUUCUUCUUUUUAAUAUUCGUCAGCUGGCUGGCAGAGAACCUUCUGUUUACUUGUUUCCUUCUUGAUGCUUCAAUUUAUUGCUGAUCCUUUGGCUACUCCAGGGGCUUUCUAAUCCUUGGGGAUUUGUGUCGGAAUUCAGCUAGUUACCAACAUUAGGGGUGGGCAUGGUAUGGUAUAUACCGAAUUUUAUACUGUGGCAUGGAUGUUAUGGUAAUUGGUAUGGUAUUUGGUAGGAGUUUUAAAUUAUUUUGGUAUUUGGUAUGGUAUUUGGUGUUCGUGCAAUAAAUACCGAAAUACCGUAUACCGCACCGAAGUUUUUUAAUGAUACAUAUAUAUUAUAUUUAAGAUUAUUAAAUAUAUUUAUAUAUCAUCCAUUAGACAAUUUAACAUAAAAGUAACUCUUAUUCAGAAAUAAAUUUUUUUGGAAGCUUAUUAUUUAGGAGUACUCUGCUUAAGUUUAGGUAAUGUUGUUUAGAGUUUGCAUCUUGGACUGCUCAAUUAUGAUUGAAAUGUUCUUUUUGUGUAAUUGAUUAACAAAGAUUGUUGUUAGUAUGAUCUGAUUGAGACGUUUUUAAAGUUUAAAGUUAAUAGUUUUUGUUACAUGAAUAUAUGCAAGUCGAAAUCAAAUAAAGUAUGGUUACCGAAUUACCAUACCAUAAAAUACCGAAACCGAAUUUAAAAAUACCGAACCAUACCAAAUUAGUUUGGUACGGUAAUGGUAUUUAGAUACUGAAAACCAAAGUUACCGUACCGAAGUUUAAAAUACCAUACCGUACCAUGCCCACCCCUAUCUAGUAUGAUAUCAGUCCCAGAUAUGCUGCAUCUUUACUGUCCAUUAUAGAUCCGAGGUCUCCUCUCUUGUCCUACGUUAGAAAAUCUAUAUUUAUUCAAAGACUUGUUGGCACAUAAGCUUGUGAUUGAAGCCGUUUCCAAAAGGCAUUCUCUUACUUUCUGACAACAGAAAAUUCCCAAGGACCAUUGGCACACGACUCGAAAUCCUGUGGAUAACGAACCCAAUCCUCUACCCUUCUCCACUUAAAUACCAAGAUUUUGUUUGCAACAUUCUUCAAACCCGCGAUGUACGUCUAAUCCACACAAUACAUGUUGUGCUCUUACCACUAGACCAAAGUUCCGGGCCCAUUUCAGAAAGGCAGUCCUAGUGUUUACCAUGGUGUUUAAGCUGUGGGACUUCUUCUAUUUUUUUCUGUACGCUUAAACAGUUAUCCAUCCUUUCCCUUCAAACCUAAGUAUAGUUGUAUUGGCAACACAAGGUGUGAUAAAUUAAUAUCAUUGAUCAAAUACUCUAUACAAUCUUGUUGCUGACAUCGAUUUGAGCUAUAACGGACGGUGCACUGGAGAUUUUGGCUGCGAGCUGGUAAUUACUUGGGUAAUAUCGACUUUCCAUAAUUUUUUUGAUGAAGUUGUUUCAUUACCGACAUCGUAAAGAGUACCAAAGUAGAUAUGCUAGCUCCAUUACAUGAUAAAAGUUAAGACCCUGGAUCCAGCCACAAAAUCAAAAAAUCUAGAGAAGACAGAACAUGACUAUGGACGUCUAUAAUUGAUUGUUUAUACUUCAGUUGAUACUUCACUCAUUUGAGAAACUUGAUUUAUGGUGAGACCUCUAGUUUGUUUAUGAGAAGAAGAAAAGAGCCACAGUGAAGUCCCAUCUCAUUCAAGUUCUCUUCCUAAGUUCCUAUCCAUGAUUUAAGCUCCCCCUGGGAUGAAUAUUCUGCAUCCUAAAACAUUUAUACUCCCUAUGUUUCAAUUUAUAUAACUCCUUUCCCUUUUUAGACUUCCCAUAAUGUUUGAAACAUUCUAUUUAUGUAAAAUUAUCACAGUUUUUAAGAAUUUAAGGUGUAUUAAAGUAUUCCCUCUUUAACUUUGACACGAUAACUCUUUUCAACCACUAAUUUAUUAGUUUCUUCCAUUAUCAGUAAUAUAUCAAACUAACAUGUUAAAUAUCAUGCCCAGUCGAACAUCUUCACAAGCUAUGGCGUACUUAAAAACAAUAAAGGAAUCCAUACUGAAUUAUGUAUAGUUCAACCUAUAUGAUUAAUUUUAGUAGUUUGAUAUUUAUCAGGACUUCUAAUAUAUUGUAAUCGGAGACUAUCUAUUUCAUUUAGUCUUCUUACCUUUUCCUUUAAACUUAAUUUUGUGCUUUUAGGUGCAAAGUUUUAACCUACAAGUGCUUGUGUUUUCAAGCUUUUGUCAGAGGUGGAUUGGAGAUCCAUCAUGUUUACUUGCUAGAUUGGCUUUCAAUUUAGAUUUUUGUCAUAGUUGGAUCCCCCUACCUACGAUCGUUGGUUCUGUUUUUGAAGACUUUUUAUCAAUACUCUGUUUCCAAUUUGUGUGACGCUUUAUGUUGGGACAUUACAACAUAUUUGAUAUCAUUUCUCUGAAUAAUUCCUUACUGUGCGGGUAAACUAGUACUGUGUUGACCGUUUACAUACCAGUUACCACAACAUCCUUUAUUCAGGCCUGAGAUCAUCUAAGCUAGUUCAUAGAUUGUUCUUAUGUCUAGGCUCAGUUUCUAAGUGAAUAGUGUGGUAUAAUGAUAUUCUGAUAGACGAAGACGCAACACAUAAAUUAAAUCUUGGAGUUGAAAUGGUGGAAUGUUGUGCGAUUAGGAGAUACAUACCCGAGGGAAAGAUAGGUUUUGUAAAACAGUUGUGAAACCAAUAGUGGCGUAUGGCUUAGUGCAGAUAAAAAAAUAGUUUUGUACCAGUUAACUUUCUCAAAAAAAUAAAUGAGCUUUGUAGAAAUGCGAAUAUCUAUGAUGGUGUGUGAUCAUACCAAACUAGACAAAAUAAGUGGAAAUAUGACAAGGUACAAGUAGCACAUGUAUAAGAUCAAUGGAAAGUCCUUAAUUAUAGUUUGGUAAUGUUUUGAUUGCACUGGUGUAUAGGUUUGCCACUAUGAUGGUUGAAGAUGUUAAAACGUAUGAGGUAAUCAUUGCAAUCGGUCAAAGUUGUCUCAAAAGACUUACAAUUUUUCGAGAUUCUUGGGAAAUACAAUCCUAGUUCUCUGAUGUUUUCUAUGACCAACUCAAGUUCCAACCUUCCAGGUCAUAUUGUCCUAGUUUCUUCAACUUUUGGUAAUCCCAGUAUUCCUUGGAUGUGUUUGUACAUUCUUCUAUGCUUCUUCGUAUUGGAGGGUUGAACUUUUCGUCUUCAUUAUCUGAGUAUGUUCACAAGAAUACAAAAUGACAAUUAGGAAGGGGAGCCUUGGAGUAACGGGUAAAGUUUCUGCCAUGCAAUCAGGAGGUAAGGUGAGGCUGCGUAUAAUUGACCCUUGUGGUCCGUCCUUCCCCUGACCCUUCGCAUUGCAGGAGCUUUAGUGCACCAGGUUGUCCUUAACAAAAUGACGGUUAGCAACAUCAAUUUGACGGCAGGAAUUCAAAUAUUUUUCAUGGAUCUACAAAAGUAACAACCUUUCUUGUUCCUUCAGGAGUUUAGGAGAUGGAGAUGGAAGGAAGAGAUUCUCCCGUGCUACCGAUAUCUUGGUGAAGAUACUCCAGUCAUGCGGCCUUUUUGAGUUGAUAUUUAUUGUUACUAUAGUUUGUCAAGCGUGACUAUUGGCUUGUUCUGAUUAACUUCUCUAGAAAACGUUGAACUUGUCGGUAUUGCAAUCAAAUUUCAUCAGAACCCCAUUGGAGCCAUACAUACAUGUCAAGAGGCGGGUCAAUGGUUUAACAGACCGACUCUCGACAUAUACGUACGGCUCAAUUGGGGUUCUGAUGAAAUUUGAUUGGAACACCGACAAGUCCAACGUUUUCCAGAGAGGUUGAUCAGAACAAGCCAAUUGCCAUGCACGACAAACUAGAGUAACAACAGAUAUCAACUUAAAAAAAAGUGGUGGAAACAUAUUAAUAUUGAUCCUCCAUUACAAUUUGUAUGUUACCGACAAGCAGUUGACUUAUACUGUCGAGAGUUUUAAGCUCUUCGCAGGAAUCAAUAUUUUCCCCCAAAUGGGCUGAUCUGAAGAGUGUGCUUAAGUAGUUACAGGAAAAUGGGACAAAUUUUCUGUGAGAUACACAGAACUUUAAUAGCCAGAUGUUUGGAUGUAUGAUGCUAGAGAUAACUAGGAAGUACGGGUUAAUAGCAAACCUCCAAUAGAAAAAGGUUGCUCCAAGGCUGUGCCUCGAAGAAGGAUUCCAUAUAUCUUGCCAUUCAUAACUUAAAAAGUUUCACACUUAAUAAUUUAUAUUCACAUUCGAUGUUUACGUUAAGUCAAUACAUGCAUGUACUACGUUUUGAAGUUUCUAGCGGAAUAAAUGCAAUUUUUUUACUGAAAAUUUAAGUUCA